GAUGAACGCUGGCGGCGUGCCUAAUACAUGCAAGUCGAGCGAACGGACGAGAAGCUUGCUUCUCUGAUGUUAGCGGCGGACGGGUGAGUAACACGUGGAUAACCUACCUAUAAGACUGGGAUAACUUCGGGAAACCGGAGCUAAUACCGGAUAAUAUUUUGAACCGCAUGGUUCAAAAGUGAAAGACGGUCUUGCUGUCACUUAUAGAUGGAUCCGCGCUGCAUUAGCUAGUUGGUAAGGUAACGGCUUACCAAGGCAACGAUGCAUAGCCGACCUGAGAGGGUGAUCGGCCACACUGGAACUGAGACACGGUCCAGACUCCUACGGGAGGCAGCAGUAGGGAAUCUUCCGCAAUGGGCGAAAGCCUGACGGAGCAACGCCGCGUGAGUGAUGAAGGUCUUCGGAUCGUAAAACUCUGUUAUUAGGGAAGAACAUAUGUGUAAGUAACUGUGCACAUCUUGACGGUACCUAAUCAGAAAGCCACGGCUAACUACGUGCCAGCAGCCGCGGUAAUACGUAGGUGGCAAGCGUUAUCCGGAAUUAUUGGGCGUAAAGCGCGCGUAGGCGGUUUUUUAAGUCUGAUGUGAAAGCCCACGGCUCAACCGUGGAGGGUCAUUGGAAACUGGAAAACUUGAGUGCAGAAGAGGAAAGUGGAAUUCCAUGUGUAGCGGUGAAAUGCGCAGAGAUAUGGAGGAACACCAGUGGCGAAGGCGACUUUCUGGUCUGUAACUGGCGCUGAUGUGCGAAAGCGUGGGGAUCAAACAGGAUUAGAUACCCUGGUAGUCCACGCCGUAAACGAUGAGUGCUAAGUGUUAGGGGGUUUCCGCCCCUUAGUGCUGCAGCUAACGCAUUAAGCACUCCGCCUGGGGAGUACGACCGCAAGGUUGAAACUCAAAGGAAUUGACGGGGACCCGCACAAGCGGUGGAGCAUGUGGUUUAAUUCGAAGCAACGCGAAGAACCUUACCAAAUCUUGACAUCCUUUGACAACUCUAGAGAUAGAGCCUUCCCCUUCGGGGGACAAAGUGACAGGUGGUGCAUGGUUGUCGUCAGCUCGUGUCGUGAGAUGUUGGGUUAAGUCCCGCAACGAGCGCAACCCUUAAGCUUAGUUGCCAUCAUUAAGUUGGGCACUCUAAGUUGACUGCCGGUGACAAACCGGAGGAAGGUGGGGAUGACGUCAAAUCAUCAUGCCCCUUAUGAUUUGGGCUACACACGUGCUACAAUGGACAAUACAAAGGGCAGCGAAACCGCGAGGUCAAGCAAAUCCCAUAAAGUUGUUCUCAGUUCGGAUUGUAGUCUGCAACUCGACUACAUGAAGCUGGAAUCGCUAGUAAUCGUAGAUCAGCAUGCUACGGUGAAUACGUUCUCGGGUCU
Molecule: ribosomal RNA, 1372 nt
Filed under: uncultured bacterium
Lineage: Bacteria
Description: bacterial SSU rRNA
Rfam family: Bacterial small subunit ribosomal RNA
Source: RNAcentral